This 553-nucleotide long non-coding RNA is filed under the name Homo sapiens (human). Its description in RNAcentral is "long independently transcribed non-coding RNA 2564, transcript variant 2 (LINC02564)". The record is from RNAcentral. Lineage: Eukaryota; Metazoa; Chordata; Mammalia; Primates; Hominidae.
ACCUUGCCAUACCAGCCCAUCAGUCCUCUGAGACAGGCAAGCCCAAGAAAGUCAGGGGCCUAUGUGAGCCAAAGAGGAGAGAAGGUGAUGCCUCAGCCCAGUGUUUCUGCCCCACCUCGCUUGUGGCCUUCGGAACUUGAUUUGCACCGCAGGAAAAUGGGCAAUGAAAACCCCUCCCUAACUGGCUUCUCAGUCCACUCUGACCAGCCCACUGCACAGCGCCCACCCUGCAGCUCCAGAUGAGGCCUCACUCUGUCACCCAGGUUGGGGUGGAGUGGCACAGUCACAGCUCACUAUAACCUCAAGCUCCUGGGCUCAAGUGAUCCUGCCACCUCAGCCUCCUAAGUAGCUGGAACUACAGAUGUGCACUGCCAUGCCAGGCUUGUCUAACAUUUUUAUGUGUUGCUUCAUCCAGUUUGCUAGAGUUUUUGGAGAUUUCUGUCUUCAUUCAUGAGGGAUAAUAGUCUGCACUUUUAUUUUCUUGUGAUACUUUUGUCUGAUUUGUUAUCUGGGUAAUACUGGCCUUGAAAAUGAAUUGAUGUUUUCCUGCUUC